RNAcentral lists this non-coding RNA (31 nucleotides) under Mus musculus (house mouse). Lineage: Eukaryota; Metazoa; Chordata; Mammalia; Rodentia; Muridae. The record is from RNAcentral.
UGAAUUGUCCAUAACAAGCACAUCUAGGGUC